Molecule: ribosomal RNA, 506 nt
Filed under: uncultured bacterium
Lineage: Bacteria
Description: partial 16S ribosomal RNA
Rfam family: Bacterial small subunit ribosomal RNA
Source: RNAcentral
AGUGAACGCUGGCGGUAGGCCUAACACAUGCAAGUCGAACGGCAGCACAGGAGAGCUUGUUCUCUGGGUGGCGAGUGGCGGACGGGUGAGGAAUACAUCGGAAUCUACUCUGUCGUGGGGGAUAACGUAGGGAAACUUACGCUAAUACCGCAUACGACCUACGGGUGAAAGCAGGGGACCUUCGGGCCUUGCGCGAUUGAAUGAGCCGAUGUCGGAUUAGCUAGUUGGCGGGGUAAAGACCCACAAAGGCGACGAUCCGUAGCUGGUCUGAGAGGAUGAUCAGCCACACUGGAACGGAGACACGGUCCAGACUCCUACGGGAGGCAGCAGUGGGGAAUAUUGGACAAUGGGCGCAAGCCUGAUCCAGCCAUACCGCGUGGGUGAAGAAGGCCUUCGGGUUGUAAAGCCCUUUUGUUGGGAAAGAAAUCCAGCUGGCUAAUACCCGGUUGGGAUGACGGUACCCAAAGAAUAAGCACCGGCUAACUUCGUGCCAGCCGCCGCCGUAA